AAGUGGCUGCACGGCCCUGCUCGGUCUUUCGCUGCUGGGACGGAGUGAGUCUUUAUAUGUACAGAUGUUGCCACUAACGUUGCUGUACCAAACCCUUGUAUGCAGGAUGUUCCAGCAGACCAGGUGCUGCAAUGGAUAUUGGUACAGAGAGAGACAAUGUGGAUAACUGGAACAAUGUUUUGCGGAUUUUAAUUGAAAUUGGUGUGCAUUGAAAGAAUCUUAGAAAGGACCAGCUUAAAGAGGUGGUUGUGGAGAAUGAAGUGCCAUUAAGGCUUUAGAGAAACCGGAGCGAUGUUUAAUUGUCAUUAAUCAGCUGGAGAGUUGUCUCUAAUGACACCAUAAUGCAAUUAUCACUACAACAGCAUUUUACUGUAAAUUUUGAAAAGUGAAACUUUGCAAACAUUACUUUGUAUAAAUAUGCGCUUCAGUAGUAAAAAGUUUAUAUUUUCUAAAGAUUGUAUGCUUUAACUUAAAUUGCCUAAUAAAUACUCAUUAAGCUAAA
Long non-coding RNA from Stegostoma tigrinum, 502 nucleotides. RefSeq lists it as uncharacterized. The transcript is spliced from 5 exons. NCBI's taxonomy places the organism in Eukaryota, Metazoa, Chordata, Chondrichthyes, Orectolobiformes, Stegostomatidae. The record is from RefSeq and is a predicted model, not a curated record.